GUCCCUGUGGUGUAGUGGCUUGAGUGUUGGACUAUAACUCUGCAGACCAGGGUUUGAAUCCCUGCUUGGCCA
This is a non-coding RNA of Phrynosoma platyrhinos (Desert horned lizard), 72 nucleotides long. NCBI's taxonomy places the organism in Eukaryota, Metazoa, Chordata, Lepidosauria, Squamata, Phrynosomatidae. The record is from the annotation of a GenBank genome assembly.